GGAUUGCCUCAGUAACGGCGAGUGAAGCGGCAAUAGCUCAAAUUUGAAAUCUGGCUCCUUCGGGGUCCGAGUUGUAAUUUGUAGAGGAUGCUUCGGCUUCGGCCCCGGUCUAAGUUCCUUGGAACAGGACGUCACAGAGGGUGAGAAUCCCGUAUGUGGUCGGGGCCCCCGCCAUGUGAAGCUCCUUCGACGAGUCGAGUUGUUUGGGAAUGCAGCUCUAAAUGGGAGGUAAAUUUCUUCUAAAGCUAAAUAUUGGCCAGAGACCGAUAGCGCACAAGUAGAGUGAUCGAAAGAUGAAAAGCACUUUGGAAAGAGAGUUAAAAAGUACGUGAAAUUGUUAAAAGGGAAGCGCUUGCAAUCAGACUUGCCCGCGGUUGCUCAGCCGGUCUCUUGACCGGUGCACUCUUCCGCGGUCAGGCCAGCAUCAGUUCGGGCGGUCGGAUAAAGGCCUUGGGAAUGUGGCUCUCUUCGGGGAGUGUUAUAGCCCUUGGUGCAAUGCGGCCAGCCUGGACUGAGGUCCGCGCUUCGGCUAGGAUGCUGGCGUAAUGGUUGUAAGCGGCCCGUCUUGAAACACGGACCGAGGAGUCUAACAUCUAUGCGAGUGUUUGGGUGUCAAACCCGUACGCGAAAUGAAAGUGAACGGAGGUGGGAACCUUAGGGUGCACCAUCGACCGAUCCUGAUGUCUUCGGAUGGAUUUGAGUAUGAGCAUAGCUGUUGGGACCCGAAAGAUGGUGAACUAUGCCUGAAUAGGGUGAAGCCAGAGGAAACUCUGGUGGAGGCUCGCAGCGGUUCUGACGUGCAAAUCGAUCGUCAAAUUUGGGUAUAGGGGCGAAAGACUAAUCGAACCAUUGGCGUUGCGUGAUGCGAUGUCCAUAUCGCAUCAUUCUUAUUUUUUCCGAGUGUGGAUGCGGCGGCGGUUUAUUAUUAUCCGCCGUGUCUGCACUUGGGGCUGCUAGGUGGUUAAGAGGCUGCUAAAAGGGCAAGCCUAGUCCCUCUAUUCGGGGCGACAUUGUCAAAUUGCGGGGACUUCCUGAGAGCUCGAACUACCGCGGCCCGCCGAAAGGUUGGGUGCAGCACCGGGGUAAUGACCUAGGGGAUGGUAAAAACGUUCGAGAUUGGAUAAUCCGCAGCCAAGUCCUACGUUUCCGAAGGAAAUACGGAUGCAGUUCACAGACUAAAUGGCGAUGGGUUCGGCCGCUAAACAGGCGGUCGGGCUUAAGAUAUAGUCGAUCCCCCACGGAAACGUGGGCGGUAGGAAGAAGCUGGUAAGCAGAAUGGGCGCUCCCACGGGGGCGAGCCUGCCAGCCCGAGCCCUACCGGGAAGAAGCGGGGAUGA
RNAcentral lists this ribosomal RNA (1337 nucleotides) under Phalangispora constricta. RNAcentral's name for it is "partial 28S ribosomal RNA". It matches the Rfam family "Eukaryotic large subunit ribosomal RNA", at positions 72 to 1505 of the family's 3401-position model. The record is from RNAcentral. Lineage: Eukaryota; Fungi; Ascomycota; Dothideomycetes.